Molecule: ribosomal RNA, 883 nt
Filed under: Ceratocystis fimbriata
Lineage: Eukaryota; Fungi; Ascomycota; Sordariomycetes; Microascales; Ceratocystidaceae
Description: LSU rRNA
Rfam family: Eukaryotic large subunit ribosomal RNA
Source: RNAcentral
UUUGUAGAGGAUGCUUUUGGUGAGGUGCCUUCCGAGUUCCCUGGAACGGGACGCCAUAGAGGGUGAGAGCCCCGUACGGUUGGAUACCAAACCUCUGUAUAGCUCCUUCAACGAGUCGAGUAGUUUGGGAAUGCUGCUCUAAAUGGGAGGUAUAUCUCUUCUAAAGCUAAAUAUAGGCUAGAGACCGAUAGCGCACAAGUAGAGUGAUCGAAAGAUGAAAAGCACUUUGAAAAGAGAGUUAAACAGCACGUGAAAUUGUUGAAAGGGAAGCGCCUAUGACCAGACUUGUUUCUGGCAGUUUCGUUAGCCCUCGGGCUGAUUUACUCUGUCCAGUACAGGCCAGCAUCAGUUUGCUGUCGGGGAGAAAGGCUCUGGGAACGUAGCUCCCCCCUUCUGGGGGGAGUGUUAUAGCCCUCUGCAUAAUACCCUUCGGCAGACUGAGGACCGCGCUUCGGCAAGGAUGCUGGCGUAAUGGUCAUCAGCGACCCGUCUUGAAACACGGACCAAGGAGUCAACCUUAUGUGCGAGUGUUUGGGUGUAAAACCCCAGCGCGUAAUGAAAGUGAACGUAGGUGAGAGCUUCGGCGCAUCAUCGACCGAUUCUGAUGUUUUCGGAUGGAUUUGAGUAAGAGCACACAGGGUUGGACCCGAAAGAAGGUGAACUAUGCUUGUAUAGGGUGAAGCCAGAGGAAACUCUGGUGGAGGCUCGCAGCGGUUCUGACGUGCAAAUCGAUCGUCAAAUAUGAGCAUGGGGGCGAAAGACUAAUCGAACCUUCUAGUAGCUGGUUCCAGCCGAAGUUUCCCUCAGGAUAGCAGUGUUGAAUUUUCUUCAGUUUUAUGAGGUAAAGCGAAUGAUUAGGGACUCGGGGGCGCUAUAUUGCCUU